GACGAACGCUGGCGGCGUGCCUAAUACAUGCAAGUCGAACGCUUCUUUUUCACCGAACUUCGGUUCAUCGAAAAAGAGGAGUGGCGAACGGGUGAGUAACACGUGGGUAACCUGCCCAUCAGAAGGGGAUAACACUUGGAAACAGGUGCUAAUACCGUAUAAUGCUUUUUCUCGCAUGAGAGCAAGCUGAAAGGCGCUUUUGCGUCACUGAUGGAUGGACCCGCGGUGCAUUAGCUAGUUGGUGAGGUAACGGCUCACCAAGGCCACGAUGCAUAGCCGACCUGAGAGGGUGAUCGGCCACACUGGGACUGAGACACGGCCCAGACUCCUACGGGAGGCAGCAGUAGGGAAUCUUCGGCAAUGGACGAAAGUCUGACCGAGCAACGCCGCGUGAGUGAAGAAGGUUUUCGGAUCGUAAAACUCUGUUGUUAGAGAAGAACAAGGAUGAGAGUAAAAUGUCAUC
Molecule: ribosomal RNA, 463 nt
Filed under: Enterococcus sp. oral taxon A43
Lineage: Bacteria; Bacillati; Bacillota; Bacilli; Lactobacillales; Enterococcaceae
Description: bacterial SSU rRNA
Rfam family: Bacterial small subunit ribosomal RNA
Source: RNAcentral